Molecule: transfer RNA, 39 nt
Filed under: Psilotrichum gnaphalobryum
Lineage: Eukaryota; Viridiplantae; Streptophyta; Magnoliopsida; Caryophyllales; Amaranthaceae
Also listed under: 8 other names
Description: partial tRNA-Phe
Source: RNAcentral
GUCGGGAUAGCUCAGCUGGYAGAGCAGAGGACUGAAAAU